UACGUAGGCGGAAAAUUAAGUCAGUGGUGAAAUCCUGCAGCUUAACUGUAGAACUGUCAUUGAUACUGGUUUUCUUGAAUACAGUUGAGGUAGGCGGAAUGUGUAAUGUAGCGGUGAAAUGCUUAGAUAUUACACAGACCACCGAUUGCGAAGGCAGCUUACUAAACUGUUAUUGACGCUGAGGUACGAAAGCGUGGGGAGCGAACAGGAUUAGAUACCCUGGUAGUCC
This 229-nucleotide ribosomal RNA is filed under the name uncultured bacterium. Its description in RNAcentral is "partial 16S ribosomal RNA". It matches the Rfam family "Bacterial small subunit ribosomal RNA", at positions 568 to 796 of the family's 1533-position model. The record is from RNAcentral.